UAGACAGACUAUAGAUGGUCGAGU
This 24-nucleotide non-coding RNA is filed under the name Arabidopsis thaliana (thale cress). The record is from RNAcentral. Lineage: Eukaryota; Viridiplantae; Streptophyta; Magnoliopsida; Brassicales; Brassicaceae.